Molecule: non-coding RNA, 73 nt
Organism: Bos taurus (domestic cattle)
Lineage: Eukaryota; Metazoa; Chordata; Mammalia; Artiodactyla; Bovidae
Source: Rfam
UCCCUGAUGGUCCAGGGGAUAAGCCUCUGCACUAUCAAUGCAGGGGACCCAGGUUUGAUUCCUGGUCGGGGAA